This 474-nucleotide ribosomal RNA is filed under the name uncultured bacterium. RNAcentral's name for it is "bacterial SSU rRNA". It matches the Rfam family "Bacterial small subunit ribosomal RNA", at positions 32 to 507 of the family's 1533-position model. The record is from RNAcentral.
AGGACAACGCUGGCGGCGUGCCUAACACAUGCAAGUCGAACGGUAUCAACCAAGCAGCAAUGUGAGGUUGGUAUAGUGGCGGACGGGUGAGUAACGCGUGAGCAACCUGCCUUCAAGAGGGGGAUAACACCGGGAAACCGGUGCUAAUACCGCAUAAGACCACACUAUCGAAUGGUAGAGGGGUCAAAGGAGAAAUCCACUUGAAGAGGGGCUCGCGUCCCAUUAGCUAGUAGGUAGGGUAACGGCCUACCUAGGCGACGAUGGGUAACCGGGCUGAGAGGCUGAACGGUCACACUGGGACUGAGACACGGCCCAGACUCCUACGGGAGGCAGCAGUGGGGAAUAUUGGGCAAUGGGCGAAAGCCUGACCCAGCAACGCCGCGUGAAGGAAGAAGGUUUUCGGAUUGUAAACUUCUGUCGCAGGGGACGAAAAAAAUGACGGUACCCUGUGAGGAAGCCCCGGCUAACUACGUG